GGGUCGGUGGCGUAGUUGGUUAUCGCAUCUGUCUAACACACAUAAGGUCCUCAGUUCGACCCUGGGCCGACUCA
Molecule: transfer RNA, 74 nt
Filed under: Sparassis crispa
Lineage: Eukaryota; Fungi; Basidiomycota; Agaricomycetes; Polyporales; Sparassidaceae
Description: tRNA-Val
Source: RNAcentral